RNAcentral lists this transfer RNA (76 nucleotides) under Dehalococcoidales bacterium. RNAcentral describes it as "tRNA-Ala". It matches the Rfam family "tRNA". From Rfam's summary of the family: Transfer RNA (tRNA) molecules are approximately 80 nucleotides in length. Their secondary structure includes four short double-helical elements and three loops (D, anti-codon, and T loops). Lineage: Bacteria; Bacillati; Chloroflexota; Dehalococcoidia; Dehalococcoidales. The record is from RNAcentral.
GGGGCCGUAGUUCACUAGGGAGAACGUUGCGUUCGCAUCGCAAAGGUAAGGGGUUCGAAUCCCCUCGGCUCCACCA